AUACAACAUUGGGCAGGUAGUAUACAUGUACUCAUAUGGGGAGGAGGUAGAAGACAUACAGAUGGCAGAAUAUCGAGGGAGAACUUCGAUUUUAAGAGAUGGCAUCACUGAAGGGAAGGCUACUCUCCGAAUUUACAACACCAGAGCCUCUGACAGUGGAAAUUACCUGUGUUAUUUCCAAGAUGACAAAUUCUCUGAAAACGCCAUGAUGCAGCUGAAGGUUGCAGGUGAGCCUCCAGGUUUUGUUCUGAACUCAUUGCUACCUGGAACCUGUGAGCAGAGGCAGAAGUCAUGCUCCAAUACACCUCAGAGCAUCCUGGUAAUUCACUAGGAACUGCCUCCACUGCCUUCCCACUUUGUUUCUCUGAGGUCCUUGGGAAAGUCACAGGCUUUCCUCCAGGAAGAAUCUCUCCUGUACCCUAUAAUAUCAAGUAAAAAACUCCCUCCUGCUGGCCACCAGGGUAUAAGCAGGGAAGUGGAAGGUCGAGGAUAGGAAGGAUAAGAAAAUAUCACCUCAGUGAUGGCACACAGUUGUUUGGGUUCAGUUGUGUUCCAGACAGCUUCUGUGGCCCCUCCAGGUGCAGACUGCUGUGGGCCCUGGGAGGAUGACCUGUAGGACAGCAUCUGUGCUGCCAAUGUUCUCCAGCCAAAGGCUCCCAGGAACACACCUGGAGUUGACCCAGUUGUGUUUAUUACAUUUUUCAGGGAGGGAAA
Non-coding RNA from Ceratotherium simum simum (southern white rhinoceros), 714 nucleotides. The record is from RefSeq and is a predicted model, not a curated record. Lineage: Eukaryota; Metazoa; Chordata; Mammalia; Perissodactyla; Rhinocerotidae.